RNAcentral lists this ribosomal RNA (498 nucleotides) under uncultured bacterium. RNAcentral's name for it is "partial 16S ribosomal RNA". It matches the Rfam family "Bacterial small subunit ribosomal RNA", at positions 30 to 523 of the family's 1533-position model. The record is from RNAcentral.
AUUGAACGCUGGCGGCAUGCCUUACACAUGCAAGUCGAACGGUAACAGGUCUUCGGAUGCUGACGAGUGGCGAACGGGUGAGUAAUACAUCGGAACGUGCCUAGUAGUGGGGGAUAACUACUCGAAAGAGUGGCUAAUACCGCAUGAGAUCUACGGGUGAAAGCAGGGGAUCGCAAGACCUUGUGCUACUAGAGCGGCCGAUGGCAGAUUAGGGAGUUGGUGGGAUAAAAGCUUACCAAGCCGACGAUCUGUAGCUGGUCUGAGAGGACGAUCAGCCACACUGGGACUGAGACACGGCCCAGACUCCUACGGGAGGCAGCAGUGGGGAAUUUUGGACAAUGGGCGAAAGCCUGAUCCAGCAAUGCCGCGUGCAGGAUGAAGGCCUUCGGGUUGUAAACUGCUUUUGUACGGAACGAAAAGCCCUGGGUUAAUACCCUGGGGUCAUGACGGUGCCGUAAGAAUAAGCACCGGCUAACUACGUGCCAGCCGCCGCCGUAA